UAACGAAUCUUCCGCAAUGGGCGCAAGCCUGACGGAGCAAUGCCGCGUGUAGGAUGAAGCGUCUCUGACGUGUAAACUACUGUCAGGGGUCGGAACCAAUGAUUGACCCCAAAGGAAGUGGCGACUAACUCUGUGCCAGCAGUCGCGGUAAUACAGAGGCCACAAGCGUUAGUCGGAAUCACUGGGCUUAAAGGGUGCGUAGGUGGGCUUGCAAGCGUUUUGUGAAAGCCCGUAGCUCAACUACGGAACAGCAGAGCGAACUGCAAGUCUUGAGGCAGGUAAGGGCCGGAAGAACAAACGGUGGAGCGGUGAAAUGCGUAGAUAUCGUUUGGAAUGCCGAUGGGGAAGCCGUCCGGCUGGGCCUGUCCUGACACUGAGGCACGAAAGCGUGGGGAGCAAA
This 400-nucleotide ribosomal RNA is filed under the name uncultured bacterium. RNAcentral's name for it is "bacterial SSU rRNA". It matches the Rfam family "Bacterial small subunit ribosomal RNA", at positions 355 to 772 of the family's 1533-position model. The record is from RNAcentral.